UGGUUCUCCCCGAAAGCUAUUUAGGUAGCGCCUCGUGAAUUCAUCUCCGGGGGUAGAGCACUGUUUCGGCUAGGGGGCCAUCCCGGCUUACCAACCCGAUGCAAACUGCGAAUACCGGAGAAUGUUAUCACGGGAGACACACGGCGGGUGCUAACGUCCGUCGUGAAGAGGGAAACAACCCAGACCGCCAGCUAAGGUCCCAAAGUCAUGGUUAAGUGGGAAACGAUGUGGGAAGGCCCAGACAGCCAGGAUGUUGGCUUAGAAGCAGCCAUCAUUUAAAGAAAGCGUAAUAGCUCACUGGUCGAGUCGGCCUGCGCGGAAGAUGUAACGGGGCUAAACCAUGCACCGAAGCUGCGGCAGCGAACGUAUCACCCAAGACAACUUUACGGAGUUGACGAUUGACGGAGCGAAGCGACGUCAAAGCGUUCAUUAAAGUCGAGUUGGCUUAGGGAUACGUUCGUUGGGUAGGGGAGCGUUCUGUAAGCCUGUGAAGGUGUGUCGUGAGGCAUGCUGGAGGUAUCAGAAGUGCGAAUGCUGACAUAAGUAACGAUAAAGCGGGUGAAAAGCCCGCUCGCCGGAAGACCAAGGGUUCCUGUCCAACGUUAAUCGGGGCAGGGUGAGUCGACCCCUAAGGCGAGGCCGAAAGGCGUAGUCGAUGGGAAACGGGUUAAUAUUCCCGUACUUGGUGUUACUGCGAAGGGGGGACGGAGAAGGCUAUGUUGGCCGGGCGACGGUUGUCCCGGUUUAAGCGUGUAGGUGUGUGUUCCAGGUAAAUCCGGUUCACUUUAACACUGAGGCGUGACGACGAGGCACUACGGUGCUGAAGCAACAAAUGCCCUGCUUCCAGGAAAAGCCUCUAAGCAUCAGGUAACACGAAAUCGUAC
This 884-nucleotide ribosomal RNA is filed under the name Salmonella enterica subsp. enterica serovar Typhimurium. RNAcentral's name for it is "partial 23S ribosomal RNA". It matches the Rfam family "Bacterial large subunit ribosomal RNA", at positions 850 to 1647 of the family's 2925-position model. Lineage: Bacteria; Pseudomonadati; Pseudomonadota; Gammaproteobacteria; Enterobacterales; Enterobacteriaceae. The record is from RNAcentral.